ACAAAGUCGACCAGUGGAUUUUCAGCUUGGCUUUCUGUCAUCUGGAUGCUUGUCAUCUGGAUAAUAUUUACCUCAAGGAUUCCCUCUGGAAGACGAAACAGAUGUCAACGCUAUGCAGUAAUGCAUUUAUCUGUGUGGGAUCAUUCUGAAAGAAAACACAUGUGGAAAAAAAAGAAAGAAAGAAAGUGAAGUGCACAUGAGUGGCUCCAAACAACAAAGAGCUCCAAAGCUUCUGAACAACAAGACCCUGAAUGUGAAAUAUUAUCUUUAACAUGGAUUUCUAGUUAAAUUCAGUUUACUGAUCUUCCAAGUCAAUGACAGUGGCAAACGGUUACCCAGAGAGGUAUGGGAACAAGUAAGGAAUCACAGACAUCAGUGGAAAAUUGCAAUUCCUUCAGUAAAUCCUUCUUCAUCACAUCAAGCAGAGGUGUCACAACUGAGACAGGUUGUUGAUUCUUGAAGUGAAAUGUGACCUUCAAAGACCGUGCUUUAGCAUGGAUGGCCUGAUCCAAAGCCUGAUGGAGAGAAAGGAGGUUUGAGUGCUGCUUCUCAAUGGGGUUUUUGAGAACCCUUGGGGGAAAAACUGCUGACAACAAAUGCCUAGUAAUUAAAACCAAAAAUUUAUCAGCCUAAAAAUAAUAAAUUUGGCUAAGACAGAGAUUUUUUGCCAUGUUAUUUGAUACAUGAAAAUGUUACAUAAAUAUUGAGUGACACUCUCAAUAAGAGCCAGCUGGUGAAAAUUACUGAACACGUUGUAAAUAGGCUUUGGGGGCA
Coturnix japonica (Japanese quail) is the source of this 774-nucleotide long non-coding RNA. RefSeq lists it as uncharacterized. The record is from RefSeq and is a predicted model, not a curated record. NCBI's taxonomy places the organism in Eukaryota, Metazoa, Chordata, Aves, Galliformes, Phasianidae.